CGGGGAUGUUCUCCCAGUCUUUGGAGCUGAACAGACCACAGCAGUGAAACUACAAACAGCAGCAGGAGAAGAAAGAAAGAGGAGGGUUACUCAUCUCCAGGAGGAUGAGACAACAGCUUGUAGCAGACUAUAAAAACGUCCUGUCCUUACCUGAGGAUAAGAGCUGGCAGCAGGGAUUCCAGUCAUCAGCAUCAGCAGACAUCCAGUGAACAUGAACACUAGGAACUGCAGAGAGGCUCCCAGCACAGCGAUCAUCAUGGUGAUGACACCAACAAUGUGGAGAAUGAAGAGUUGGGUGGUGCGACCCUCCAGCUGUGGACAGAAGUGUCAUAAAAAG
Molecule: long non-coding RNA, 337 nt
Organism: Oreochromis niloticus (Nile tilapia)
Lineage: Eukaryota; Metazoa; Chordata; Actinopteri; Cichliformes; Cichlidae
Exons: 3
Source: RefSeq, a predicted model, not a curated record